AUUUACGGUUCAUGUUAUAUUAAUACUGCGGCUUGAUUAUCAAAAACCAUUACUCUUGGUUAUCUCGCCGAGGUUGAACCAAGCUGCUAUAAGUCAGGCUGACUACCCGCACAGUGUGUGUUUUGUUUUUAUGAUAACAGCAUUCUAAAUUUAAAAGUGCAUUUGUAAAAUUACGUUCCUGGGUUGGAUUCAUUAUAAAUGGGGUGAGCUCACACAAUUGUGUGGCGCGCAUGCACAUGUACACAGAGGAAAAACAACACACAUCAAUAAAAGAAGGGGAGAUAACAAAAAAAACUCCUUGACUCAUUCAAGUUCCAGGCAGGUCAUUUUCACUUGUGGUCAAACUCAGGGGUAUGACGUUAACAUUCUUUAAAAAUUCUUUGUUCCCUUCGCCCUGGGCAGAAAAACAAUAGACCGUCUGCUUCCUUUUCUUCUCUGUGUUAUGUUUUGAUGUUGUUUUCCCUCUUAGCGAUAUGCCUCAUGGCUCUCUCCCUUUUUUAUAUAUUAUUAUAAUGAUACUGUAUUAUUCUAUACCACAGCAGAUCCCUAUGGAGGAAAAGGAUUGUUUCAGAGUUUCUUUGUGGAUUACAUGCAUUUAGGAUUUGUUUACAAUAAUGAUUCGUUUGUCAUAACCUCUCAUGCUAAUGCCAUUGUGCUUGGCUUUUUAAUUUCAUCCUCCCUUACUGUGAUACUUUCACAGGGCUUGUUUGUAUUUGUUUGAAAGAAGGCCUAAUAAAGGACAGAGCCUGCCUUAAUAAUCAUCUCCCUAUCUUAGAUAUCUGUUUUAUUAAGCAUGCGAGUCUGAGCAAGAGCUCUGCUGGGUCUCUCUACUGUCAAGGACACCUGGGGAGGAAUGACUUCCAGCCCCCAAAGUUUCUUUGCAAACAGAAGCUCAGAGCUCUCAUGGGUGAUCCUUGGCCAUUGAAAAUUCCUCAUUUAUUUAAAUUAUUUGUUGUUCCAUGUCUAGUGUGAGGACAACACAACCCUGUAUAAAUAGGAAUGCUUGCCUAGAAUUCUGAUUCCCAGGAAAGGAGGAAAGAGAAAGUGCUUCCUCUAUGACAAAUUGGAUUAAGGAGUUUGUAGCUAAACAUUUCGGGGUGUUUUUGUACCAUCCAUGUAGUAGAAACUUCUCAAUGCUUUCAAACAAUGGGGCCGUUUCACAGAUGGUCCUGGGGUCAUCAAUUUAGCACGGCUGCUACAAGGCUCAUCUUCCCUGGAGCCAAAUUACAUGAUCCGUGGGAGAGUUGUGACUGAUUUGCCAUUUUGGUGUGUGUUAAGAAAAAAACAUGGGGAGCUCCAAAUACUAUGAAGAUGGUUAAACCAGGGGUAGCCAUUAUGUCACCUUCCAGAUGUUGUGGACUACAACACCCAUCAUCUCCAGCCAGCAUGGCCCAUAGCUGGGGGUGAUGUGCAUUGUAGCCCACAACAUCUGGAAGGUAUCACAUGGGCUUCCACAAUGCUGUUUUUCUCAUUCUAAAACACCCCCUGAAACUGCUAGCUGCAGUUAGGGGGAAUGUGGGACCAACAGCAGCUGUUGUUGUUGGUUAGUCGUGUCCGACUCUUCGUGACCCCAUGGACCAGAGCACACCAGGCACUCCUGUCUUCCACUGCCUCCCGCAGUUUGGUCAAACUCAUGCUGGUAGCUUCGAGAACACUGUUCAAUCAUCUCGUCCUCUGUCGUCCCCUUCUCCUUGUGCCCUCCAUCUUUCCCAACAUCUGGGUCUUUUCCAGGGAGUCUUCUCUUCUCAUGAGGUGGCUAAAGUAUUGGAGCCUUGGCUUCAGGAGCUUUAUGGAAGUCAAAUAUAGAACAAUAAGCUGGUGCUGGGGAAGGGUUUAAACCAGGGGUCAGCAAACUUUUUCAACAGGGGGCUUUUUCAGCACUGUCCCUCAUACCAUGUGGUGGGCUGGACUAUAUUUUUUUUUGGGGGGGGGAGAACGAAUUCCUAUGCUCCACAAAUAACCAAGAGAUGCAUUUUAAAUAAAAGCACACUUUCUAUUCAUGUAAAAACACGCUGAUUCCCAGACUGUCCAUGGGCUGGAUUUAGAAGGCGAUUGGGCCAAAUCCAGCCCCCAGGCCUUAGUUUGCCUACCCAUGGUUUAAACAUUAUCUCCUGCAGCAUCUCUGAGACAAUCAAAUUUGGAGGCAGCUGACCCCUACCCCAGUGGUUGCUGCAAAGAACAAAUUAAAAGAACAAAACAAGUUCCCAAUUGUUCAUUUGCUGGAGCAACGCACCUCUGUGCCUUGCUCCAGGAUCACGAAGGGGUUUGCAUUGAAAGCCCUGCUAAAAUAGGGUCUCCCCACUUGCUGUAUACAUAACCAUGUCUACCUCUAAAUAUGUCACUGGCAGCUGGGGGUUGCAGUUGACAUAACACCAACUGCUGCCUGUCCCAAUAGGGUCUCUGGCAAACCUUCAGGACUGGCGUAUGGAACCAUCCAGUCACAUCAGCUUACACAUGGUAUAGCUAAUGGUUUGUUUGGUAUCUAAUGGACUACUUGCAUGUUUUAUAUAUGAUGGCUGUUAAUUGCUUCAUUAUCCAUGCAGAUCAUAAAGGCAAACUGUGUCUUAACAUAAAAUCAGCAUUGAGGCCGUUUGGAAGCCGAUUUAGAGGAGAGUAUUAUUGUUGUCCAUACUUCCUCCUCUACUUUUGCAUUCUUUUCUGAUUUUUUAAAUGGCCUGGCAUUAGGCUCCUGCAAUGUUUUCUCCACUGGCUCAGUCUUGGGUUAAAAUUAUCCAGCCCCUAUGAAUUAAGGUGAACCCACUGACUGCUCAAGUACUUAGGAUAUAGCUGGAUUAUGCAAUGCUAGUUUGAUUGGAUAGUAGUUUGAUUGGGGAAAGGGAGGGGGAGACGGCCGUAAAGUUCUGAAAUUGUUCAUCAGUCCAUGAUUCAAAUAACUGGGAUGUUUUCCCUUGAGCAUAAAUCUUACUCUCAGUGAUUAUAAUGCACAGCAUUGGCAAUAUUUAUUUAGAUUUUUAACUGUCAUAUAUCCCUAAGCUCAGAGCAGGUAACAGAGUUUGAAAACAAGAAGUAACCGAAGCAACGGAAAAGUAACAAAAGCAGACUUGGCUAUAGGAUGAAAUAAUUGGUCAACUUUUAUACAGUUCCUCUGGAAAAUAAUCAUUCCCAGUCUUUGCUGGACCUUGGAAGGAAGGUCUGAAGCUUAGUGGAUAGAUGCCACCAAGAUUGCUUCUGCAUGCUAACCUCUGUUUUUUAAAUGACGUUGCUUUAUAAUCAAGAAAAUGUAACGGAAGAUUUACGGCAUGCUCUGAUGCAUCCCACAGAGUAAUUCCCAAGUAACUAUGCAUAGAGCUGCAGCCAUAUAUAUAUAUAUAAUAUUUUAUCUAUUGCCAUUCAUGUAUAGAUCUCAGUGCAGUUCACAACAUAC
RNAcentral lists this long non-coding RNA (3385 nucleotides) under Podarcis lilfordi (Lilford's wall lizard). Lineage: Eukaryota; Metazoa; Chordata; Lepidosauria; Squamata; Lacertidae. The record is from RNAcentral.